UUGCUUCUCUUGAGAGCGGCGGACGGGUGAGUAAUGCCUAGGAAUCUGCCUGGUAGUGGGGGAUAACGUUCGGAAACGGACGCUAAUACCGCAUACGUCCUACGGGAGAAAGCAGGGGACCUUCGGGCCUUGCGCUAUCAGAUGAGCCUAGGUCGGAUUAGCUAGUUGGUGGGGUAAUGGCUCACCAAGGCGACGAUCCGUAACUGGUCUGAGAGGAUGAUCAGUCACACUGGAACUGAGACACGGUCCAGACUCCUACGGGAGGCAGCAGUGGGGAAUAUUGGACAAUGGGCGAAAGCCUGAUCCAGCCAUGCCGCGUGUGUGAAGAAGGUCUUCGGAUUGUAAAGCACUUUAAGUUGGGAGGAAGGGUUGUAGAUUAAUACUCUGCAAUUUUGACGUUACCGACAGAAUAAGCACCGGCUAACUCUGUGCCAGCAGCCGCGGUAAUACAGAGGGUGCAAGCGUUAAUCGGAAUUACUGGGCGUAAAGCGCGCGUAGGUGGUUUGUUAAGUUGGAUGUGAAAUCCCCGGGCUCAACCUGGGAACUGCAUUCAAAACUGACUGACUAGAGUAUGGUAGAGGGUGGUGGAAUUUCCUGUGUAGCGGUGAAAUGCGUAGAUAUAGGAAGGAACACCAGUGGCGAAGCGACCACCUGGACUAAUACUGACACUGAGGUGCGAAAGCGUGGGGAGCAAACAGGAUUAGAUACCCUGGUAGUCCACGCCGUAAACGAUGUCAACUAGCCGUUGGAAGCCUUGAGCUUUUAGUGGCGCAGCUAACGCAUUAAGUUGACCGCCUGGGG
RNAcentral lists this ribosomal RNA (801 nucleotides) under uncultured bacterium. RNAcentral describes it as "bacterial SSU rRNA". It matches the Rfam family "Bacterial small subunit ribosomal RNA", at positions 80 to 878 of the family's 1533-position model. The record is from RNAcentral.